GCCGAAGUGGUGAAAUUGGUAUACACGCUGGUUUUAGGAACCAGUGCCUUACGGCGUGAGAGUUCGAGUCUCUCCUUCGGCACCA
RNAcentral lists this transfer RNA (85 nucleotides) under Nitrospina sp. RNAcentral describes it as "tRNA-Leu". It matches the Rfam family "tRNA". From Rfam's summary of the family: Transfer RNA (tRNA) molecules are approximately 80 nucleotides in length. Lineage: Bacteria; Pseudomonadati; Nitrospinota; Nitrospinia; Nitrospinales; Nitrospinaceae. The record is from RNAcentral.